AACAACAUCCUGGUGCUGCCUGAGUAGUUGUCACAAACUCCAGCAUCAGUGAUUUUGUUGC
RNAcentral lists this microRNA precursor (61 nucleotides) under Monopterus albus (swamp eel). Its description in RNAcentral is "Mal-Mir-338-P2a_pre stem-loop". It matches the Rfam family "mir-338 microRNA precursor family", at positions 6 to 65 of the family's 69-position model. Lineage: Eukaryota; Metazoa; Chordata; Actinopteri; Synbranchiformes; Synbranchidae. The record is from RNAcentral.